GCCCGCUCCCGUGAGGCGCGGCUCCGCGUCGGGUACGGAGCGGCCGUUUGGCAUCAAACUGUCGCCCUCCGCUGAUGGGAUCGGUGAUGUCCCGACCCCAAGUGGACGCCCGCUGAGGGGUUUAUUCUUCUCGGCAAAGCCUGAGCGGGCGGUGAGGAGCUCCUGAGCUGCCCGGUCGGCCCUGCGGCCCACCAGCACAGGAAGCCUGCUGGAGAGUCAGAAGUUGGCCAUGGUGCAACAGGAGCUCUCACAGGAGAUAAGGUGGGAACAAGGAAAAGAACAAAGUGGGUGUUUUGCAACCACAGUCGGCGAGGACAAGCUCUGAGAAGCAUCUGUGCCAAAACUCUGUGUAAGGACAUGGCACAGGAUUUGACUUACAUUCAAGCUACCUGCUGAGGAGGCUGAGGAAAAAAUAGCCAAACCAAAGACUGCAAAUUCACUGGGCUGAAGUGGCAUUCUCUUAAGUGCUCAGGAUGAGGAACCAGGAUGAAACAAUUCAAUUACUUAAUUGUAGCAGGUAAUCACUGUGCAUGGCAG
RNAcentral lists this long non-coding RNA (537 nucleotides) under Gallus gallus (chicken). Lineage: Eukaryota; Metazoa; Chordata; Aves; Galliformes; Phasianidae. The record is from RNAcentral.